This 650-nucleotide ribosomal RNA is filed under the name Shouchella clausii. Its description in RNAcentral is "bacterial SSU rRNA". It matches the Rfam family "Bacterial small subunit ribosomal RNA", at positions 528 to 1178 of the family's 1533-position model. Lineage: Bacteria; Bacillati; Bacillota; Bacilli; Caryophanales; Bacillaceae. The record is from RNAcentral.
UAGGUGGCAAGCGUUGUCCGGAAUUAUUGGGCGUAAAGCGCGCGCAGGCGGCUUCUUAAGUCUGAUGUGAAAUCUCGGGGCUCAACCCCGAGCGGCCAUUGGAAACUGGGGAGCUUGAGUGCAGAAGAGGAGAGUGGAAUUCCACGUGUAGCGGUGAAAUGCGUAGAGAUGUGGAGGAACACCAGUGGCGAAGGCGACUCUCUGGUCUGUAACUGACGCUGAGGCGCGAAAGCGUGGGGAGCAAACAGGAUUAGAUACCCUGGUAGUCCACGCCGUAAACGAUGAGUGCUAGGUGUUAGGGGUUUCGAUGCCCGUAGUGCCGAAGUUAACACAUUAAGCACUCCGCCUGGGGAGUACGGCCGCAAGGCUGAAACUCAAAGGAAUUGACGGGGACCCGCACAAGCAGUGGAGCAUGUGGUUUAAUUCGAAGCAACGCGAAGAACCUUACCAGGUCUUGACAUCCUUUGACCACCCAAGAGAUUGGGCUUCCCCUUCGGGGGCAAAGUGACAGGUGGUGCAUGGUUGUCGUCAGCUCGUGUCGUGAGAUGUUGGGUUAAGUCCCGCAACGAGCGCAACCCUUGAUCUUAGUUGCCAGCAUUAAGUUGGGCACUCUAAGGUGACUGCCGGUGACAAACCGGAGGAAGGUGGGG